GGUGGCACAGGAGACUACGUUUUUAAUUGACAGGGUUGAUUAACGUGGAUUUGACUUAUUUUAAAAUUAAAAAAUUAGGGAAAAAUUGGAAAAAAUUCCAGAAAGAUAACUUCAUUCAGUUUGUUUUGUAAAUCCCUAAUCUGCUCCAUCACAUCCUCAACGUAAUCAUCAUCCCUUCUCCUAUCAUCUUUAUUCCAAUAUCUUGAAUCUCAAGACCAUGUCCUCCAGAAGCAUGCCCAAAGUCAAGAACUUUUUUCUUAUAAUUCCAAGGUACAUUUAUGCUGGAGCAUCUGCAAACAUUUGAUUAUAACAGAUGAAACCAAUAACUCAAUCUAUUUUACUUCUCUAAAUAACCUAGCCCCAAUCAACCAAUUCAACAGCCCAAAGUAAACAUCAUACAAGAAAAACUACAAAAAAGCUACUCAAUCUUUUGCAGUUGAGCUUGUAAUCAUUAAAUCCUCAAGCAAAUUAAUGGAGCAAAAGGGAUAUUGAUAGUUGAGGAGGUGAGGUGAGGGAGGUGAAAGGUAAAAAGGAUGGAUCAGUUGUUCUUGGUAAUGCUGUCAAAUCUGCUUCACCUACACAACUCCCUCGACCCAACCACCUACCUUCUCUCCGACUCACUCUCAUCAACCACCGAACCCCUCCUCCCUCCUCCUCCAUCGCCCCUCCUUUUUUUCACCAUCGCCUUCGUCCUUUCCACGCGCCCCUCCUCCUCCUUUCCCAACCCCAACAUCGCGACCACCGACAACAACCCCAACACCAACACCACCACCAACGCCUCCUUUGACUACUCUGUCUCCGCCUUCCGCACGCUCUCCACAGAACACAUAUGCUCCCUCAAAGCAUUAAAAAAAAGAAUUAAUUGUUUAGUAUGUAAACGAUAACAGUAGGGAUACGUGGAGGUAGAGGUUGACUGAAGGAAGAAUGGGUACUUUCAAGAUUCCAAACCUGACAUAACUCUUUCAAACAAGGAGGUAAAAUCAUGACUUUUAAUUUUAUUUUUCUUCGAGAUGGGUAACCUAAAUGCCAAACAGAGAAAAUAUAUGAACCUGUAAAAGUUUAUUAUUGAUCCUACCUCGAAGCCCCUCUCGACGACGCCCAAUUUAGGUUUUCCUGUUUAGGUUUUUCUGAUUGCGGAACCAUCUCGAUAGUUAACUUCGAUUGCGGUGAAUCCAGCAACUCUCCAGUGGAUCCUAAUUUUUUCUU
This 1206-nucleotide long non-coding RNA is filed under the name Vigna radiata. RNAcentral describes it as "long non-coding RNA (VRAD_LNC005833)". The record is from RNAcentral. Lineage: Eukaryota; Viridiplantae; Streptophyta; Magnoliopsida; Fabales; Fabaceae.